AUCGAACGCUGGCGGCAGGCCUAACACAUGCAAGUCGAACGAGUGGCGGACGGGUGAGGAAUGUCGGGGAAACUGCCUGACGGAGGGGGCUAACUACUGGAAACGGUAGCUAAUACCGCAUACCAUCAGAUGUGCCCAGAUGGGAUUAGAUUGGUGGUGGGGUAACGGCUCACCAAGGCGACGAUCCCUAGCUGGUCUGAGAGGAUGACCAGCCACACUGGAACGGAGACACGGUCCAGACUCCUACGGGAGGCAGCAGUGGGGAAUAUUACACAAUGGGCGCAAGCCUGAUGCAGCCAUGCCGCGUGUGUGAAGAAGGCCUUCGGGUUGUAAAGUCCUUUCAGCGGGGAGGCGUUACCCACAGAAGAAGCACCGGCUAACUCCGUGCCAGCCGCCGCGGUAAUUC
This 406-nucleotide ribosomal RNA is filed under the name uncultured bacterium. RNAcentral's name for it is "partial 16S ribosomal RNA". It matches the Rfam family "Bacterial small subunit ribosomal RNA", at positions 30 to 526 of the family's 1533-position model. The record is from RNAcentral.